RNAcentral lists this ribosomal RNA (464 nucleotides) under uncultured bacterium. RNAcentral describes it as "partial 16S ribosomal RNA". It matches the Rfam family "Bacterial small subunit ribosomal RNA", at positions 339 to 795 of the family's 1533-position model. The record is from RNAcentral.
CUACGGGGCGCUCCAGUGGGGAAUAUUGGACAAUGGGGGGAACCCUGAUCCAGCAAUGCCGCGUGUGUGAAGAAGGCCUGAGGGUUGUAAAGCACUUUAGUAGAGGAGGAAGUUUAGCUUGUGAAUAAUGAGCUGAAUUGACGUUACUCUAAGAAUAAGCACCGGCUAACUCUGUGCCAGCAGCCGCGGUAAUACAGAGGGUGCAAGCGUUAAUCGGAUUUACUGGGCGUAAAGGGUGCGUAGGCGGAUGAUUAAGUUGGUUGUGAAAGACCUGGGCUAAACCGAGGAACUGCAAUUGAUACUGGUUGGCUAGAGUGUGGUAGAGGGAAGUGGAAUUUCUAGUGUAGCGGUGAAAUGCGUAGAUAUUAGAAAGAACAUCGAUGGCGAAGGCAGCUUCCUGGACUGACACUGACGCUGAGGCACGAAAGCAUGGGUAGCGAACAGGAUUAGAUACCCUCGUAGUC